This is a long non-coding RNA of Diachasmimorpha longicaudata, 745 nucleotides long. RefSeq lists it as uncharacterized. NCBI's taxonomy places the organism in Eukaryota, Metazoa, Arthropoda, Insecta, Hymenoptera, Braconidae. The record is from RefSeq and is a predicted model, not a curated record. The transcript is spliced from 3 exons.
GCGAACGCUACAAAACGUCGUGUUUUUUUAUUCAGUUUGUAAAUAUCCGUUGAUUGUCUCCGUUUCUAUAUUGUUUUCAUAUCUUUGAAAAUAUCCAAUUAUUAUGCUGUAGUGAAAUGAUAGAGCGAGUUUCCCAUAUCGAUUUCAACUGAUGUUCACUUACGCUGCAUGUGAAUCAACUGCCGAGGUAAUUUGUAAUCAGCCGGGUAAAUCUUGUCGUAUGCCUCCACAUCCGUCAAGUCGGUGACCUCUGGAGUGGGGAUUAUUAGUCCCGCGCAUAUUGCCCGUUGGAGGUGAUGCUCCUGUAGUUAGCAGAUUCAUCUCGGAAGCAAUUAAUUCAUCACGUCCUGGAGGUUUGCCUGGAACGUGCAUUGAAGCAUGAUUUUUCAGGCAAACACAUCAGUAAAAUGAGGAGAGAAAACGUGGAGGUAUUAAUUCAUAUCUCCAACGUAAACAAUUACUAAAGCUCCAGCGAUAUGCUCCAGCAAUGUCAACAUUCCCCGCAUCGCUCUCCGUGAUUCAUCUCAGUCAACCAAUUCCAGACUAACAUCGUCAUUAAAGAAAUUUUCGCUGUUUUUUCAUUUUGCGAAAGGCAAUAUCAUUAUUAGCAUUUUCAUGUUGAAAUCUUCAAUAACUUCCUCGAUAAAUAAUAAUAUCGAUAAUUUGUCAAUAAAUAAUGCUCUAAUACCGAUAAUAAUAAAAUUAAAUCGACAGAAAAUUAAGCCUGUUAUGUGCGAAAAGAACA